Molecule: long non-coding RNA, 470 nt
Organism: Ochotona curzoniae (black-lipped pika)
Lineage: Eukaryota; Metazoa; Chordata; Mammalia; Lagomorpha; Ochotonidae
Exons: 4
Source: RefSeq, a predicted model, not a curated record
GAAACAUACGUGUAUUCUCUCCAUUUCCUGUGAUGUAAUGACACGAUUUGUUCAAAUGCAUUUGCUGCUCUCCCCUCUGGGUCUCUCUGACAAACAGCAAGAAAAGGACAGUCCUCUUUCUGCUAACAUCAGGGUUUGCUGCUCUACUGGCUUUGGUACCUACAACAAGGUGAACAAGCAUAUAUGGGAACAGGAAGAGCUCACAAUGGCCAGGGCUGUUUGGAAUUCUGAAGAAAGGUUUCACAGACCAGUUAACUGAACAUCGGAAUGUGCAACAAAAAUUCAAUGGCACUGCCUUGCUUGUUAGUCAACUAUCAGGCAUACAAAAAUUUAGCUUUCAGCAUAUUCUUCAAUUUUAUUCUUAUGAAGUUAUUCCAAGAAGGAUGGUCAGAAAAUGAAGUUAACGAGAAGUACUGCAUAGCAAAUUUAUUUCCAUUUACAGGAAAAUCGAUUCAGCAAAGAACAUUUUC